CGCCUAACCCAUCAAAUCUUGAUGGCACGGCGCAAUAAAACUAUCCCUAGUAGAGAGCUCGUCACCAGAGCAACUAGGGAUAGUCAUAUCUUGAAAGAGAUAUGGGUGCCGCAAGGCAUC
RNAcentral lists this small RNA (120 nucleotides) under unclassified sequences. RNAcentral describes it as "LOOT RNA". It matches the Rfam family "LOOT RNA". Rfam says of the family: Latescibacteria, OD1/Parcubacteria, OP11, TM7. Lineage (Microgenomates, aka OP11) The record is from Rfam by way of RNAcentral.